AAACUGAAUUUCCCCUCCCUCUCUCUCUCUCUAAAUCUCUGUUCUUCUUCUUCUUAUCUUUCAUUUCUAUGAGUCAUUUCUCUCCUUCUUUCUAUUUCUAAUCUGGUUCUUCUGAUUUUCUACAUUUUUCCUUCCCCUCUCUUUUUACAUUUCAGUAUUUUAUUAUAAUUUCAUUUCAAUUUAUAGAAUUACAGCUAGGAUUAUUAAUUCCCAGCUGAUUGCUUCAAUUGAGCGUUGAUUUUAAGUCGAAUUUAGUUAGUUUUGGUUUAAGUUGAGCUCCAACUAUUAACACUUCCCUUUAAAUACAGCUUGAAGCUCUCACAUCCCAUUUUGAUCUGAAACGGUGCAAGAGCUGUGAUCUCCUUCCAGCUAGCUGGAUGUCUGUCCCUUGUUAUACUUUUUCCUUGCAAGUUUAUGCAAUGUAUUUACAUUGUGAUUAGAUUGUUUGAGACCCUUACUUUAUCUUCUUUUGGAUAAACAAAUCUGGUGCAGGUAUCCAAUUUAUGAAAAAUACCUAUUGCCUUGAUGCUAGGGAAUCCGGAUUUUGACCUCCCUGUUAAUGCAAGCUGCAAAUUCUAGCAAAGCUGUAGCAUUGUUGAUUCAUCUUUGAAGAUUUCCUUGCAGAUCUUCGGCCUUGCUUCAUUCAAGUUGAGAGGUUUAGUUCUGAGUCCUCUCGAACCAAAAGAAUGCGAGCAAGAAGGUUCGCUUUGGCAAGAUGCUGAAUCUUGACUUCAACAUUUGCGUGUUGUUCUCUCCGACUUUCAAUUUUACCGUGCUCACUGCCUUCAACAGAGAUGAUGGGGCCCAGAAGUUUCUUGGUCUGUCCAAAUCUCCUUACAGUAGGCAGAAGUUGUGCAAAAAAUGUGCAGUCAUUGUGCAAUGUUGUUCAAGCUUUUUGGAUAUAUAAUAACGUGUAAAAUUCUUCCAGUAGCAUAUAUUUCUUCAAAAAGUUGGACAUAUCACUUAGUUUCAGCCGGUCGAUCGGCCGUACAUGAUAAAAUUGACAGUAGAACUACUGAAAAUAUAGGGACAGUCAAG
RNAcentral lists this long non-coding RNA (1038 nucleotides) under Olea europaea subsp. europaea. Lineage: Eukaryota; Viridiplantae; Streptophyta; Magnoliopsida; Lamiales; Oleaceae. The record is from RNAcentral.